CCCUUAGAUGUUCUGGGCCGCACGCGUGCUACACUGAGUGGAUCAGCGGGUCGGGUUGCGCGAAAGUGUUUCCUAAUCUUUAAAUCCGCUCGUGAUGGGGAUUGACGGUUGCAAUUUUCCGUCAUGAACGAGGAAUACCUUGUAAGCGCGGGUCAUCAUCCCGCGCUGAAUACGUCCCUGCCCUUUGUACACACCGCCCGUCGCUCCUACCGAUUGAGUGGUCCGGUGAGGCUUUGGGAUCUGAGCGGAAAGAGCGUUUCGCUGUUUCUGCCCGGAAAACUCAGUCGAACCUCAUCAUUUAGAGGAAGGAGAAGUCGUAACA
Molecule: ribosomal RNA, 322 nt
Filed under: uncultured eukaryote
Lineage: Eukaryota
Description: partial 18S ribosomal RNA
Rfam family: Eukaryotic small subunit ribosomal RNA
Source: RNAcentral